RNAcentral lists this long non-coding RNA (1432 nucleotides) under Felis catus (domestic cat). Its description in RNAcentral is "lncRNA (ENSFCAG00000049676.1)". Lineage: Eukaryota; Metazoa; Chordata; Mammalia; Carnivora; Felidae. The record is from RNAcentral.
ACCCCACCGCACCUCGUGUGUCAGGAGGCCUCCAGGCCCUAAUGGAGAGUCCAGGGAAGGGUUCAGCUAACUCUAAACUUGUUCCAGGUUCUAGGCACUCAGAAAGCAAGGAGAUGCUCAUAUUACAAGAGUCUUAGCGAGGGCAGAGGCUUCCCCGCACCAGCUUCAAGUGUCCACAAGGCUUAUUCCCGAGCGUCGGCAGGGGCUCUGUGCUCAGCAGUGACCACCAGGUGGCAGCACGUUCCCACUGCCUCCCAGACCGCAGGCUGAGCGAGAAAACGAGAAGCUGGGAGGAGUUGGUGGCAACCCCCUUUCAGCGCUGCUUAGAGCGACCUCAGAUGGUGCCGAACACGAAGGAAGGAAUCGAGAAUGAAGGGCAAAGGAGACAGGGAUAGAUUGCCAACUGCCUAAGUUCAACCUGAUCCCGUGGAAUAUUUCUGGGCCGCACUAAAUUCAAUGCUCUUGACUCAAGAAGGUUGAGAAGCUGCUUCUACUUAUUCAAGCUUGUGAGUAUUCCAAGAAAAACAGUAUCUGUGUUUUUCUGUAGAGUGCACAACGCCGCUCACACACUCCGCUUCACUCAGUUAGCAAAACCACCACCCGAGAGGCCCGUCUUACUCAUCUCUGCCCACAGCAGAAGAAACUGAGGCCCGGAGGCUGGAGAGGUCUGCUCAGGACUGUCCCUGUACCAACAUCAGAGGGGACUCGGGGACAGGAGCCUCUCACCGGCCUCCUCACCUCAGGAGAGGACAGUGAAGACUGGGAGAGGGCUUGUCAGCUGCCAUGGAGACAACGCCAACCACCAUGGGCUGGGCACUUUGCCAGGUGUCGCUGACGAUUCUAGAGCCGUCCUGGAGGUAAGUACUGUUGGAUCCAUUGCACAGAGGAGGAAACUAAGGCGCGGUGACACCUGAGUGACUUGGCCAGUGAGCCACCUGAGCAACAAAGCCAGUGAACGACAGGGCCGUGGCCCGGACCCAAGUCUGUCUUGGCUUCAAAGUCUUGGCUCUUCCCAGUGAACCCCACGAGAAGAAUACUGUAUCAGUUAUGCCAAAACUCAGUUUGUCAUCUGAGGCAGAAAUUCUUCAGUGUCCCAAUGGGGUAAGUCUCGUGUCCUAGGUCAGGCCAGCUAUCAGGGGCAGUGUGUUAUCACACCAACCGUCUGGCUCCCACCCCCCACCAGCUCCACUUAGAAGACAGUGGUUCGGGGGGCGCCUGGGGGGCACAGUCGGUUAAGCAUCCGACUUCAGCCAGGUCACGAUCUCGCGGUCCAUGAGUUCGAGUCCCGCGUCAGGCUCUGGGCUGAUGGCUCAGAGCCUGGAGCCUGUUUCCGAUUCUGUGUCUCCCUCUCUCUCUGCCCCUCCCCGGUUCAUUCUCUGUCUCUCUCUGUCCCAAAAAUAAAUAAACGUUGAAAAAAAAAAUUAAAAAAAAA